Molecule: non-coding RNA, 611 nt
Organism: Notechis scutatus (mainland tiger snake)
Lineage: Eukaryota; Metazoa; Chordata; Lepidosauria; Squamata; Elapidae
Source: RefSeq, a predicted model, not a curated record
UUGUUGUAACUAACACACUGGACGCCCUCACGUGGUCGGCUGCAGCAGCACGGAGCCGGCGAGCAGUUUUCAGGGGGGUCCCCGCCUGAAUUGGAGGGGCCGUGGCUCAAGGUACUGCGGGGUUCAGAAAGGGCAGGAUUUGGCCCGCCGGGGCCCCACCAAUGAUACCGGCCAUCAUCCCGUAACUUGAGUGCGGAGCUGAUUAGAAUCCCUACCCGCAUCAAGUCCUGAGGAAUGGGGUUUUGGGGCGAGUUCAAAAAACAAACGACGUAGCAGGGAAAGGGAUGCUGUCGGUAAAAGUUUAAGGUCAGAAGGGGGUACCGUUCGAAAGCUGCAGUUUACACGCAUUGGUGAAACGAGCGACGAGGCAGCUGGAGCCUCUUUUCGAAUAGAAUUGGGAGAAGCCAAAAGCUACAGUAAACUCCAGUUUCAAAGCAGCUUGAAGGAAGUGGAGUUUCAGAAGUCUCCCAGGUUAAGUGGAAUCUUCCUCAGUCUAUUCAAUCAUAGAAGUUAAGAUGCAGAAGGGAUCACCUAGUCCACGAAUGUCAAACUUAUGGCGUCACAUUGCCAUCAUGUGAUGGUUUUGUGACUUUUUUCCCUUUGCGGAGCUG